GUACGGGCCACUGCCUUGGCCUACUCCUCCAGCUGCAGUGAUCACUGGCCGCCUUCCCAGUCGCUCCCAAGUCGUCGCGACAGCGGCAAACCGAUUCAUUGCCAUCCAUCGCCCUGCUUGCUCUCGCCCCGGCCGCUUCUAUAUAGCCCCGUCCUGCCGAUCACAUUCCAUAUUGCACCACCUCUCCUGUCCUCACCUCACCUCUCGCUGCGCUCCGGCGAUCGAGCUUGGCUAGCUUGGCGAUGGAGGCAGGGACGUGGGCGGUGGUGGUGGCGGCGGCGGCCGCGUACCUGGCGUGGUUCUGGCGGAUGUCGCGCGGGCUCAGCGGCCCCAGGGUGUGGCCGCUGGUGGGUAGCCUGCCGGGGCUGCUGCAGCACGCGGAGGACAUGCACGAGUGGAUCGUCGGCAACCUGCGCCGCACCGGCGGCACCUACCAGACCUGCAUCUUCGCGGUGCCCGGCGUGGCCCGCCGCGGCGGGCUGGUCACGGUCACCUGCGACCCCAGGAACCUGGAGCACGUCCUCAAGGCGCGCUUCGACAACUACCCCAAGGGCCCCUUCUGGCACGGCGUCUUCAGCGACCUGCUCGGCGACGGCAUCUUCAACUCCGACGGCGACACCUGGGUCGCGCAGCGCAAGACGGCCGCGCUCGAGUUCACCACGCGCACGCUCCGCACCGCCAUGUCCCGCUGGGUCUCCCGCUCCAUCCACCACCGCAUGCUCCCCAUCCUGUCCGACGCGGCGGCCUCCGGCGCGCACGUCGACCUGCAGGACCUCCUCCUCCGCCUCACCUUCGACAACAUCUGCGGCCUCGCCUUCGGCAAGGACCCGGAGACGCUCGCCCGCGGCCUCCCCGAGAACGCCUUCGCCACCUCCUUCGACAGCGCCACCGAGGCCACGCUCAACCGCUUCAUCUUCCCGGAGUGCGUGUGGCGGUGCAAGAAGUGGCUGGGGCUCGGCAUGGAGACCACGCUGGCGCGCAGCGUCGCGCACGUCGACCGCUACCUCUCCGCCGUCAUCAAGACGCGCAAGCUCGAGCUCGCCGGCAAGAGCGACGGGUCCACGCCGCACGACGACCUCCUGUCGCGCUUCAUGCGCAAGGGGACCUACUCCGACGACUCCCUGCAGCACGUGGCGCUCAACUUCAUCCUCGCCGGCCGCGACACCUCCUCGGUGGCGCUCUCCUGGUUCUUCUGGCUGGUCUCCACCCACCCGGACGUGGAGCGCAAGAUCGUGCGCGAGCUCUGCGCCGUCCUGGCGGCGUCCCGCGGCGCAGACGACCCGGCAUUAUGGCUGGCCGCCCCGUUCGACUACGAGGAGCUGGACCGCCUCGUGUACCUCAAGGCGGCGCUCUCGGAGACCCUCCGGCUGUACCCGUCCGUGCCGGAGGACUCCAAGCACGUGGUCGCCGACGACUACCUCCCCGACGGCACGUUCGUGCCGGCCGGGUCGUCGGUGACGUACUCCAUCUACUCGGCGGGGCGCAUGAAGACGGUGUGGGGGGAGGACUGCCUGGAGUUCCGGCCGGAGCGGUGGCUGUCGGCCGACGGCACCAAGUUCGAGCCGCACGACUCGUACAGGUUCGUGGCGUUCAACGCCGGGCCGCGCAUAUGCCUGGGCAAGGACCUGGCGUACCUGCAGAUGAAGAACAUCGCCGGGAGCAUCCUCCUCCGGCACCGCCUGGCCGUGGCGCCGGGGCACCGCGUGGAGCAGAAGAUGUCGCUCACGCUGUUCAUGAAGCACGGGCUCCGGAUGGUGGUGCGCCCGCGCGACCUCGCCCCGACCCUCGACGAGCUCCCCGCCGCGGCACCCGCCGUCGCGGCCUGCGCGUAGAAGAUCGAUGUGUAUGGACCCCCGGCGCCGUGCAUGCAUGCUCCACGUACGGUUCGUGCCAUAUGGGGAAGGUCCGGAGGACGAAGUUGGAAGUGGCAAGAAAACUGUGUAGAUACACGAGUCCAACACACCAACAGGUACUACUUAGUAGGUGAGUAUAUCUACAUCGGGAUAAAGGGAUCUGUCUAAAAAUAUCCAAAUCAGAAAGAAAGGGAAACACACAGGGGCAACAAACAAUAAUGCUCCUCUCCUGUACUGUAAUGUACUGUACUGAACUACGUGUGACAGAUUAGAAGUGUAUAAGCUCCAAAUUCGUCUGGGCGGUUUGUGUUAAUGCGCCGCCGAUUGUUGUUGUUGUUGGCAGGGAGGUUGCGUGUGCAAAUGCGAGGUGAAACAUACAACUCGAUCGAGUGAUUAUUUUCUGGAUGGACCCGUUGGUCCGGGCUUAUUAAUUCUUCCCCGUUCUAUUUCUGGCGUCUUGAUUGCCGGUAGCUCGCUGCUCAUGGCGUUAUUGCACGAGGUGGAGAUGAGAUCAGUGUACAUCGCUGUUGUCCAUCUUAAGGUUGUUUGAGGCUCGUGCACGGGACCGAGAGAGCGAUUUGAUAGUGGGAGUUUCUUUGUUGAGGGAGUUCGAUACAUCAAACUCUGAUCCAGGACAGUGCAUCAAAGAGGCAAUACAAACUGAUAAAGAAUUUCGACGUGCCUUUUCAUUCUCAUUUGAUUAUUUGAUCAUUUUCCGGUCGCAAAUUUAUGUUCG
This 2589-nucleotide long non-coding RNA is filed under the name Triticum aestivum (bread wheat). RNAcentral describes it as "long non-coding RNA (TAES_LNC024524)". Lineage: Eukaryota; Viridiplantae; Streptophyta; Magnoliopsida; Poales; Poaceae. The record is from RNAcentral.